GGUCCACAAUGAUGAUGUGAACUGUCACGUUGCUGCUGAGAGGAGGAGAGCCAGAGUCUCUGGCCUCGAUGUGGAACAGAAACUCCUUCUCAAUCUCAUAAUCAAAAGUUUUCAAUGCAUAAAGGUUCCCGUUCUCUGGAUUGAUGGAGAACAGCAUGGACAUGGAGGUGUUGGCUAUCUCCUUCUCUAAUAUGAAGUAAACCAGAUACUGGUUUUCAUGGAGGUCAGGGUCAAACGCAGUGAGAGAGCUGAGCAAGGCUCCAGGUGCGUUAUUCUCCAUCACACGUAUGGUAUAGAAUGACUGAGGGAACUGUGGGACAUUGUCAUUAACAUCCAGCAGCUCUAAGGUCAUAGUUUCAUUGUCAGAUAAAGGAGGAGAGCCUCUGUCUGUGACAGUGAAGGUGAUGUCAUAUUCUGGGACCUUCUCACGGUCUAAUGGCUGUGAAACUACUAAUUCAUAAUAGUUAUCAGA
Acanthochromis polyacanthus (spiny chromis) is the source of this 472-nucleotide long non-coding RNA. RefSeq lists it as uncharacterized. The transcript is spliced from 4 exons. Lineage: Eukaryota; Metazoa; Chordata; Actinopteri; Pomacentridae. The record is from RefSeq and is a predicted model, not a curated record.